This 441-nucleotide unclassified non-coding RNA is filed under the name Hevea brasiliensis (rubber tree). The record is from RNAcentral. Lineage: Eukaryota; Viridiplantae; Streptophyta; Magnoliopsida; Malpighiales; Euphorbiaceae.
AUUCCUUUGAAGAUGUUCUUAAUCUCUAUGAAGGGAGCAUUAGACUUCCAAGUGCGAUCACGACCAAAAAAUUAAGGAAUUGCAUCCCAGGGGAGAUGUUCAAGGAACUCGUGCGUAACGAUGGUGAACGAUUCCUCAAAUUCCCAAAGCCUGACGUGAUCAAAGAGGAUAAGUCUGCUUGGAGGACAGAUGAAGAGUUUGGACGAGAAAUGCUUGCUGGAGUCAACCCAGUCAUCAUCAGUCGCCUUCGAGAGUUUCCUCCUACCAGCAAGCUAGACACUAGAGAAUUUGGGAACCAUACCAGUACAAUAACAAAAGAGCAAAUAGAAGAGAACAUGAAUGGGCUCAAAGUAGAUCAAGCAAUCAGAAGUAACAGACUGUUUAUAUUAGAUCAUCAUGAUGCAUUGAUGCCAUACUUGACAAAAAUAAACUCAACAACCA